CGCGUAGGCGGUUACUCAAGUCAGAGGUGAAAGCCCGGGGCUCAACCCCGGAACUGCCUUUGAAACUAGGUGACUAGAAUCUUGGAGAGGUCAGUGGAAUUCCGAGUGUAGAGGUGAAAUUCGUAGAUAUUCGGAAGAACACCAGUGGCGAAGGCGACUGACUGGACAAGUAUUGACGCUGAGGUGCGAAAGCGUGGGGAGCAAACA
Molecule: ribosomal RNA, 207 nt
Filed under: uncultured bacterium
Lineage: Bacteria
Description: partial 16S ribosomal RNA
Rfam family: Bacterial small subunit ribosomal RNA
Source: RNAcentral